RNAcentral lists this long non-coding RNA (10660 nucleotides) under Vitis vinifera (wine grape). RNAcentral's name for it is "long non-coding RNA (VVIN_LNC000375)". Lineage: Eukaryota; Viridiplantae; Streptophyta; Magnoliopsida; Vitales; Vitaceae. The record is from RNAcentral.
UCCCACCCAUGCUUGAGACUCCAUUACUUUGGUUGAGAAAAGUUCAGCCCUACAAACUGUCCUUAGAUUCUUCCAUGCAUCAUUGCACUCAACUGCCCAUCCAAGAGACAUGCGGUUGAUUUCAGAAUUCUUGGCUGGUACUGCGUGAGGAACAUAUCUACCAGAUAGAACACGAUCAUGCGUCUUGAGAAUUUCCAUGGCGGCGGAGGAUGUUGAUGCCACCACCAAGAUUUGGGAUCCGAGUCUUAGCGAGAUGAGAGGACCAUAGGACUGGCUAAAGCGAGCUAAACUGAUGUGAGGCAUGUUUCCCAGAUGCAAAAGAUUGCCUAAGAUUGGCCAUGGAGAAGGUCCUGGUGGGAGUGGUGGAGAUUUGAGCGAAGAUGAAUCUUUUAAAAGCUUUAGGAUGAGAAAGACCAGAAGUGGGAGGAGGAGGAGGAAAGGCAAGAAGACAUCGAAGAAGCUGGUUCCUUCUGCUAACAUGGCUACCAUGAAUUCGAUUGGGAUGAGGAAGGAAAGUAACAAAGUUAUCCCUAAUUCUCUGAAUCUCCUCUCCAGUGAUGAAAACUGACAUAAGUUGACCAGGAUAUUGCUUGGGGUCAUGCUACGAUACCCACCUUUUUGGCCGAUAGAGUUAAGUGGCAGACAAGGUGAAUAAAACAUUAAAAAAAAAACCAAUUCUUCGGUUUAACCAACCUUACUAAUCACCACACAUUGUUAUCAUCUAUUAUAAUAAUCAAUUAUAAAAUCUGUUGAAAUGUUUAAUAUAAUAAUUACCUUUUGAGAAUUUUUUUAUGAAGUAGAAAAAUAAAGAAAAUUUUAGAAAGAGAAAUUAGAAUUUAUUUAUUUUUGUAAUAUAAAGUGAUAAAUCCAAGAGGUAAAGAAAAAAAAUUUAAUUUAAAAUAAACUAUAAAUUCUAAAAAAAAUCAUUUGGUGAUAUAAUUUAUAAAUUAAGGAAAAAUAAUUUUAUUUUAUUUUAACUUCAAAAUUAUUUGUUAAAAAAAUUGGAUGAAUAUUUGAAGUGUGAAAAACAAUAUAAUUGGUUUAUGAAGUGAAAAAAUAUUGAAUAAUUUCAAUGAAUAGUAAGUGAAAUUAGAUUUUUUUUUUUAUAAAAAUAGGAAAAAUAGAAAUAAAUUUAAAUAAGUAUAUAUUAUCUUAAAAUUAAAAUAGUUAUGUACUAAUUAUUAAUUCAAAAAUAUAUGAAUAAAUUAAUUUUUAGCAUUCAAAUUUAAUUACAAAAAAGAUUGGUUGAAAUAUAGAAAGUAUAUAUAUAAAAAUAUAAUUACUAACAAUAUGGAAAUCAACACCCCUCGCUAACAUUCAUUGAACACCUCCUAAAUGUAAUGAACUUGUCUAAAUAAUUUUCAAGUUAUGUGAAAUCGCAAAAAGAUUUUAAAAGUUCAAAGAAGUGGAGAAUGGGGAGGUUCGUACCCUUACUAAUUUUUUAGUAUUUUUGGAUUUUGAUUUUUUUGAGCAUCCAUUGAACACCCUCUAAGUGUAAUGUACCUAUCUAAACAAUAUCCCAACUAUAUAAAGUCCCAAUUUUUUAAAAAAAAGAUCAAAAAAGUGGAGAAUAGAGAGGAUGUAAGGAAUAUCAGGAUUCUUCAUGUUCUUCGUAUUCUUGGUAAUUUUUUAGAAUUUUUGGAUUUUGAUUUUUACGGGUAUCCAUUGUACACCCCCUGAAUGUAAUGAACCUAUAUAAACAAUAUUCAAGUCAUAUGAAGUUCCAAAGAAUUUUUAAGACUUCAAAUAUAAUUAUAACAACCACAAAAAAAAAAAAAAAACUUAUUCUUUUACAUAUUUAUAUUUUGCCUUAUUAGUAAUGUAUCUAAGCUCUUACAGUAAAUUAAAUCAAAUCAUUUAAGUCAAUUUUUAUAAUAACAAUAAAUUAACUUCCUUUUCUAUUUCCAUUUUUCUAUACUAAAAAUGUUAGAGGUUUCAUCAUUUUUUUUAAAUCACACAUGAUAACUUAUUGUCAUUAUUUCUUUCAUCUUGGUUCAAUGUAUAAAUGACAAGAAUCAAGAUGACUCUAAGAUAAAAUGAAAUCAAAACAAUACAUAAUAAAUCAAAUAUACUUCCACUGUCACAUUAUCUCAACAAAAGUUUUUCUCGGAUUUCAAUAAAUUUUAUAUUUGUAUCUUACAACAAUAACAAAUACCAAAUAAAUUGUAAACAAAAUUUUCAGUCCAAAUUCCCCACAAAUUUUAUUUCACCUUCCAAAAAAAUUCAUAUUACUAACUUACAAUCAAUCAAACGCAAAAUAAAAUACAAAUAUCAUUACCAUUUCAAAAUCCUCCCUAAAUCUCUUUACAUUUUCAAUGGUGACAAAAUUAACAUAUAAAUUAUUUUCAAUGUUCAAUUAUGAAUAUAAACACAUUAUUUUUCAUUAAUGUGAUCAAUUCAUAAAUCUAAUAAAAAACACAAAAUAUAAUCAAUACAAUUUUGUAAAACACAUCAUCAAUACUCACAUUUUUUUUCUUAAUAUAGAACUACUCAAAUAAUUACAACACAACCGUCUUUUGAUUAACAAAAAAUUAUGUUGGUUUCAACUUUCUUUUUCUUCAUACUUCAAGUCGUUUUCUUCUUCUUUCAGCUACGUCUUUAAUUCAGGUCUUUAAACAAGAGAAUUUAAAACUUAAAAACACCACCUUACAACUGUUAAACCAAAGAUCAAAUAUGAAGAAAAUGAGGGAUAUGAAGAGGAGAGGGGAAAGCGAGAAUAUCAUACUCUUGAUUAUCACACGCCUUACUUGAAAACACCGAUAAACACCUGAAAUAUGAAAAUGAAAUAUGGAUAACAGAGGAGGAUACGGAGAAGAGAGAGGGAAAUCGGGAAGAUGACACUCGUACGGGAAGAAUUUUGCACUCGUACUGGAGGGGGAGGCCGCUAUCCAGGUACUCGGUUUCAGCCCAGAAUUUUAUUUUAUUUUAUUUUCAAUUUUCAUUUGGACGGCUAAGAUUAAACCUUUUUCAUCCAAUGACCCAAAUCAAAUGGAGGGACGAUACCUCCGGAGGCAUUAUAGAUUUUUCCUAUUGCCAAAGCUGAUCAAUGUGGACCUCAUGAACCUUCUCUUUUGACUUGCUUGUCACAUGACGUUUGCAUAUGCUUUCAAAUGCAAGAUGAGGCACACACAUCUUCUAUUAGAAUUUUUUAUUUUUUUUUAAGAAUUAUUUUUGGGAUUUUUAAGGUGGACUGAGGUUUCGUUGUUAUCAAAACAAAGAAAGUCGAUUUGAGUCAGCAGUCCAGAUUGAGAAGGUUGGUGGGAAAUGCAGUUGUUGAUUGAUUCUUGGAAAAAACCAUGGGGUUGAUUUUGGAUUUGAGGAGAGUGUAUGCCAUCUUGUUGCAACGGCAAAGCGUCUUUUGGCUUUUGGUUUAGAUGUCAAAAAGGAGGGAAAGAAAAGAAACAAAGAGGAAAAUGCCUUGAAGGAGGAAAUAACUAUUAGGUAAUUUUCAGCAUAAUUCUUUGCUAUUUAUUUGCUUUUUUUUAAAUGCAAGGAAGAUCAGCAGUGGCAAUGAAUACACUACCUGUCUCCACUCGAUAAAUAACCCAAAAGAGCGAAGAAAAAAGGACCACCUCUAGUGCAUAUCUGAAAGAAGAACUCUCAAGUCUUCCACCCAUGUCAGUUAUAGGAAGUGUCUUUCAUGGAAGCCUGUAACUUGACUGGCAGUGUAACACAAACAGUGGUGCCAAUCCGCUCGAUGCCCUAGCCAUGUGUACAGACAGCUCUAAAUACCCAGAAUGCUUACUGUUCACCAUGUGAAGUCUCAUAGUUGAAUUCUAUGAACAGAUUUCAGAGUCAGAUAGCAUUAAUUGCCAUUUUUCUUUUGUACAAAUCAAAAAAGUGGCCAAAAAGUAUAGAGGCACUGUUCUACCAUGUCAUCUUGACACAAAACAGAAAGAAACCUAAGAUACUGAGCGUUUAUAGCAAGCAGUGUUUCAUCUAAAAGUUGAUAUUUGGCUCAAAAAGUUAUAUGGUUAGCAUUGCUUCUAGUGGAAAAGCUAAGCCUCCUCCCCCCAACUAGUUUACCCUGGUAGGAUAUUCCUUGUUCCCCUCCAGGCUACAUUGUCCAUGACUGAUUCCACUGCAACCGGGCAAGCUUACAUUUCCUUGGGCAAAACUGAUGGUUUUGAAGCAAAGUGCUGUCUGGGUACAGAUUUUUCUUGUGCAUCAAACUGGGAACUUGGUAAACCAAAAUCUGGCAGUGUCAGGCUACUGUUCUGGGUGUGAGAAGAGUCAAUUUGUUGCUGAAAGUAACCCUCAAUUUCCAGAUUAUCUUCUAUGGGUAUAGCACCCGUAAGAGUUUUGAACGCAACUUCUAGGCAUGGAUCUGACCAGACAUCCAUAAAAGGGAAGUCCAUUGGUGGCAGCUCCGGCUCAUCACCAGUCUUUUUCCCUGUCUCCAGUUUCCCAGCUUCCUCUUCUUGAACAGCUUCAUCUUCAAGAUGCCUAUUGUCUUUCUUUGAUUGCUCUACAUCUGAUGGAGCUUCUAUGGCUCUGGAAGCAUGAUGUCCAGGCUCUGCUUCUAGGACAACCUCAAGUUGACAACAUGCCGUAUUGUCCAAACUGCCCAUUAUCACACCUAGAGCUGGAAUUACUUCACUUUUACCAGAGAUCUUAUCUGCAACUGCAAGAGCCUGUUCGCUGGAUCCUGAGUUGCCUACCAGGUCGGGUUUGAGCCCAGCAAGCCGUUUUGAUGAACGGCAAGGCAAGUUACAGUCUUUGUUUUUUGAUUUUCUCUUGGAACCUUUGUCCUUUUGCAGAUCUGAAUUCCUCCUACCAGAGCUUUUCUUAGAUUCAGCAUAUUUUUCAUUCUCCACCAGAAGCUUCUCUUGGAGAGUUUCAGUUGAGGGCUCCAAAGCAAACUUAGGUUUAGAAAAUAGCUGCUUGGUUUGCCUUGAGCCCUGAUUUUCUGGCAAGGAUAAGUUGCUCAUUUCAGAACUUCCUGUAUCUGCAGAAGCAGUUGCUGCAAUGCACGCACAAACAAACAGAAUAAGAGUUCCAUUAUAAAAUCGACUUCUUGUGACGUGAUCACAACAUAAAAUUAGUUAUUUAUUGACCAAACCUGAGAAAAGGCGUCGCCUGGUUUUCUGGUGCAUUAAUUUCUGCCUUUUAGCUCCAGGUGGUGGCUAAUAACAGAAACAUGUUCUCCAAAAGUUUAAAAAAAAUGUAAUACUUUAUAAUUUAUAAUAGAGAAGUAGUCCAAGCAAUAUUGGUUGCUGAGAUGACUUGCCAAAGUAAAAUAGUAAUUUGAAACAGAUGAUGCAUCAAGCUUGAGUAAGGCCCAUCAGUUUUCACAAGAUUCGUGAAAGGAACCUCUAGGAAUAAGUUGUGGUCCUUGUGGAGGAAAAGUAGUCACCCAAUGGUCUAUUUUCAAAUAGCAUGCUUGAAAUGCACCUUGUNNNNNNNNNNNNNNNNNNNNNNNNNNNNNNNNNNNNNNNNNNNNNNNNNNNNNNNNNNNNNNNNNNNNNNNNNNNNNNNNNNNNNNNNNNNNNNNNNNNNCAUGCCUACUAAUCUCUCCAGUUUUUAGAUAGCGAAAGACAUCUUUUCUGGAUCGGAAAACAUACCCACUCACAGGAUCCGUAUAAUACUGUAGCAAAUUAGCAAUUAAGUAUCAAUCCAAGUUCAUUAAAAGAUCCAGAUCUGAAAAUCUUUGGGUAUAGAAAUGAAAAUUUAACUAUAAAUAGUUGAAAAAUAAUAAUUCAGGCAAAGUAGGACAUUUGAAGACAUGCAGGCACGCAAGAGGCACAAACUAGAUAAAAAAUUAGUACCGGGUCUCUUCGGAUUCCAUUUUCAUUCAUUCUAAUUUUGAUUUCCUUUAUCCACCCUGCUGGUAACCCAUCCGCUGUAGACCUUUCAAUUACAACCUAGAUACAACUUGAAAGAUCAGAGCUAAGUAACUGAUUAAGAAAACGUAGUCACACAAAGUUCAUAACUAUGAAUGUAAUAAAAGAACACCAUGAAUCUGUCUGGAGCAAACAUUCCUUGCAGUGUGCACACCUAUACCUAGUUUCUUCUGUUUGGUUGUGCAAUGUAUGCACUUUCCAGUUAUGCAAUAGCAGCACAUUUUUGUUUGAGUUAAAUAUGCACAUGGUUGGAGGAUCAUCAUAAUGCCGCAAUAAGAAUGCAGUUAAAUAAGAAUUUCUAGGGAAGUAUUAUGUCAGGAACUGAAAUUCAAUUAAAGCAUGUUCCAUUUCUUGUUUUGAUAUGCCUUUUUUUUUUUUUUUCAUUUUUCCUUUUUGUUCUUUUUGGGCUCCCCCAAAACUCUUGUCCACUGAGCCAGGUUUCAAAAGACUGGAGCAUCCUCAAUUUUUCUGAUGGGUAAUUGUUUUUUUUUUUCUUUUCUUUUCUUUUUCCUUUGUUGCUUUGUCUUUUCUUUUUCUCUUUUCUUGGAUAUUACAGAACCAAACCUGGAACUCCCCCAUUCCCAUUCCAAUGGCUUGCCAUUUGGAUCAAGCCUUUGUCAUAAGAUUUGAAGAGUGGUUAAAGCAUCUUCAAAUUUUAUGAAGCAUUGGUCAUUCUUUUCCCUUGUUUUCUAAGCACAUCAUUUUUUCUGGUUACUUCCUUUAACAGUAAAUUGCUACUAAUUAUAACAAACAGAAGGAAAUUAAAUCUGUAAAAGUAAUACCAAAGAAACACCUCUUUUCUCUUCAGUUGCAGACUAAGAUACAAUAAAGGCUUUGGUGAAGAUUUCACUGAGGCAGGAGGGCAUUAUACUUGUGUUCUAAUCCAAUUCCAAAAUUCAUUCACUUCACAUCCAAUGAGAUUCUGUUGAGGGCUUUUGAAGGAAAAGACAGGGUUCAUAUCAUAGAUUUCGACAUUAAGCAAGGGCUUCAAUGGCCUAGUUUGUUUCAGAGUUUGGCCUCUAGGACUAAUCCCCCUAGCCACGUUAGAAUCACUGGCGUAGGCGAGUCUAAACAAGAACUGAACGAAACAGGAGAUAGGCUUGCAGGUUUUGCUGAAGCAUUGAACCUUCCCUUUGAAUUCCAUCCGGUGGUGGACAGGUUGGAAGAUGUGAGGCUGUGGAUGCUUCAUGUGAAGGACAAGGAAAGUGUGGCUGUGAACUGUAUUUUCCAACUGCACAAGACUCUUUAUGAUGGCAGUGGAGGAGCCCUCAGGGACUUUCUAGGCCUAAUCCGGAGCACAAACCCCAGUAUUGUUCUUAUGGCGGAGCAAGAAGCUGAGCACAAUGAACUCAGCUUGGAAACAAGAGUUUCUAACUCACUGAGAUACUACUCUGCCAUAUUUGAUUCAAUUGAUUAUAGUCUUCCAUUGGAUAGCCCAGUGAGGAUGAAAGUAGAGGAGAUGUUUGCUCGGGAAAUUAGGAAUAUAAUUGCAUGUGAAGGAAGUGACAGGGUUGAAAGGCAUGAAAGUUUCGAAAAGUGGAGGAGGCGGAUGGAGCAAGGAGGGUUUCGAUGCGUGGGGAUCAGCGAAAGGGAAAUGCUUCAGAGCCAAAUGCUGUUGAAGAUGUACUCCUGUGAGAAUUAUAGUGUUUCAAAGCGAGGCCAAGAUGCGGCGCUUACCCUAAGUUGGCUAGAUCAGCCUCUUUACACGGUCUCAGCAUGGACUCAGGUGGAUGUUGCAGGCAGCUCUUCCUCUUUUUCUCUGCCAAGUUGAUCCGGACGGGGUUCUUCUUCUUCAUACAUACCAUCACUUUACAUUCCAUUUUCGCAUACGAAAGGGAAACUAAAUUCUUUGUAGGUAGAAGAAGCAUUUCAUUCUUUCAUUCUUUGGUUGCAGAUAAGAUUUCAGUCUGAUAGGCAAGAACCAAUUUCUACAGAUACAGUAGCUUGAUACGGAUGUCAGUUCUUCUCAGGCCAGAGUUCUAGGUUUCAGUCCUUAGUAUUUGUUGUCAAUUUGUUUUUAUUCUUUGAUUCUUUACGUAUGGUGAAAUUCUUUCUUAGUCAUGUAUGCCGAAAUUCAUUUUUAGUCAUAUGUAAUUCUAUUUAUUUAUUUAUUUUCAUCACUUGUCAGGAGGAUCAUUCUGUUCUGAACCAUGUAGUUGGGAAUUGGAUCACCAUAUAUGAAAUGAUUUCAUUUGAUUUGUGUUCGAAUACUCAUUCAUUAUCUUCUCACAUAUCUCAUAGUUUUUGUUCUACAAGCUUGAUGUCACAUUGAGAUCCUCAUAAAAGUAGAAGUAAAACAAUCCAAAAUAUAGAAAUAUACCAGCUACAAUUUUGAGUACCGUUUUUUCAACAGCAACUGACAUAGAUAUUAUAAGUAUGGAAAUCAAUGAAAAUGAAGAGCUUCUCUUGAUCAUUUUCGAACUUUAGGAAUGAUGAGUAGAGGUUGUUCCUUCUGCAAUGUUACACCGAACUUAUCGUUCAUGUCUAGCUCAUCUGGAGUGGUUCCAUUUGGAAGAGACCAAUCAAAGAAAUGGGUCAAGGAGGCAAGAAUCAAAGGAAGAAGCCUUGCAGCCAUGGGCAGACCAGGGCAUAUUCUCCUUCCAGCACCAAAGGGUAUGAAUUCUAGAUUAUUCCCUUUGAAGUCUACAGCUGAGUUGAGGAAGCGCUCUGGUUUAAACACUAGAGGGUCUUCCCAAUUCAUGGGGUCUCUCCCAAUUGCCCAGGCAUUUACCCAUAUUUGAGAGUCCUUUGGAAUGGUAUAAUUCAUAACUUCACAUGAGACUGAUGCACGGCGAGGAAGGAGCAAUGGUGCCGAGGGGUGCAGCCUCAGGGUUUCUUUGACACAGGCUUGGAGGUAUGGUAGGUGAGGUAGAUCAGAUGCUUUUGGCAGAUUAUCACUGAUUUCUCUUGCAAGUUCUUCAUGGACUUUCUUCAUGGAUUCUGGACUUUUUAUCAGUUCUGCCAUUGCCCACUCCAAUGUUGAACUACUGGUGUCUGCCCCUGCAGUAAGCAACUCCUGCCAAUACAUGACAACCAUCAAAACAGUAUUCUACUGACUAUAUAUAUACAUGUAUGCUAAACCAGUAGCUGGGUAAGGCCAACAAGUACUAGAACAUGCAAAAAAGAACUAUUGAAUUAAAAUAACUAAGUUCCCACAAGAAGAAAAAAUGGAGGCAAGGUCAUCACCUCCUGUCAUUACUUUUAUCAUAUAUACCAGCCAUCACCAAAGGCAAUAAAUUAAAACCGAAACAAAGGAAGGGUGGGGGUAGAAAGAGGUGGAAUAAGUGAAAUGUGAAGCUAUCACUGAGAGUUUCGCAGAAUGAUUCAUGAACCACAGGAGGCACACCGGAGUUUGCAGGGUUCAUAUCCUAACAAUUAGAGCUGUAAAUGGUCUAUCAAAUGUUGAACUGUAAAGGUCAGUUUGGUUCAACUUGGAUCAAUCUCAAGAACUUGUUCAUUGGCCUGAUCUGUAAAGCAGAUCCAUGCCUCAGUCUUAACUCUUAUAACUGUAAGAAGUCUAUGUGCAUCCCAAAAUUACUGAUAUAUGUCUCCCCUAUAUAAAAUUUGAGUAUUUCAUUAUCUUCCCUAUUGGUUUAUGCUAUCACAACCGCACAGCUCCUUAAAAACUGUUUAGAUGCCAAACUAUUUAAAUUAUGUAGUAGUUCUGUGAGGAAAUCUUUGACCAAAUUUAUGGACCCUUAUGUUUGUUUUUAACCUCUACGGAUCGGGUUUUCAACAGGUUUUCAAUAGGUUAGUUUCUGUAUGAGAGAGGAGGAGAGAGAGAGAACCAUGAACAAUUGAUUGAUUUGAUCAUCCGAGUAGCCGCUGCGGAUCAGAAUAUUCAAGAAGUCCUGCUUGCUUGGGUCAUCGCUUGCACCUUCUCUUCUCUCUCUGAUGACAGACUCCCACAUAGAACAAAUCCUUGCAAUCAGCUCCUUGGUCUUCUUGUUCAGACCUUGAAGAUCCAAUCCACUGAAAAUUAAAUAAAAAUCAUCCAAAUUCGGAGCAGCCAUGGCCAUCACCAUUUUCCUUACAAGUCCUUUCAUGCCUCCAUCCUUAUUAUCAUCCUCAAAGCUGAUAAAAUCUCUGGACAUAAGAACAGUAGUCAGGGUAUUAAGUACAGUAGCAAACACCACUUCUCCAACUUUCAUCACCUCCCCCUCCUUUGUGCUCACAAAUCUCACCAUCUCCAUCACCUUCUUCUCUCCCACCCAUGCUUGAGACUCCAUUACUUUGGUUGAGAAAAGUUCAGCCCUACAAACUGUCCUUAGAUUCUUCCAUGCACCAUUGCACUCAACUGCCCAUCCAAGAGACAUGGGGUUGAUUUCAGAAUUCUUGGCUGGUACUGCGUGAGGAACAUAUCUACCAGAUAGAACACGAUCAUGUGUCUUGAGAAUUUCCAUGGCGGCGGAGGAUGUUGAUGCCACCACCAAGAUUUGGGAUCCGAGUCUUAGCGAGAUGAGAGGACCAUAGGACUGGCUAAAGCGAGCUAAACUGAUGUGAGGCAUGUUUCCCAGAUGCAAAAGAUUGCCUAAGAUUGGCCAUGGAGAAGGUCCUGGUGGGAGUGGUGGAGAUUUGAGCGAAGAUGAAUCUUUUAAAAGCUUUAGGAUGAGAAAGACCAGAAGUGGGAGGAGGAGGAGGAAAGGCAAGAAGACAUCGAAGAAGCUGGUUCCUUCUGCUAACAUGGCUACCAUGAAUUCGAUUGGGAUGAGGAGGGAAAGUAACAAAGUUAUCCCUAAUUCUCUGAAUCUCCUCUCCAGUGAUGAAAACUGACAUAAGUUGACCAGGAUAUUGCUUGGGGUCAUGCUACGAUACCC